GAUGAACGCUAGCUACAGGCUUAACACAUGCAAGUCGAGGGGCAGCGCAGUGUAGUAAUACAUGGGCGGCGACCGGCGCACGGGUGCGUAACGCGUAUCCAACCUUCCCGUUACUCUCGGAUAGCCUUCCGAAAGGGGGAUUAAUACGAGAUGGUGUUGAAAUUCCGCAUGUUAUUUCAACUAAAGAUUCAUCGGUAACGGAUGGGGAUGCGUGACAUUAGGUAGAUGGCGGGGUAACGGCCCACCAUGCCUACGAUGUCUAGGGGUUCUGAGAGGAAGGUCCCCCACACUGGAACUGAGACACGGUCCAGACUCCUACGGGAGGCAGCAGUGGGGAAUAUUGCACAAUGGGGGAAACCCUGAUGCAGCAACGCCGCGUGAAGGAAGAAGGCCUUCGGGUUGUAAACUUCUUUUACCAGGGACGAACAAAUGACGGUACCUGGAGAAAAAGCAACGGCUAACUACGUG
Molecule: ribosomal RNA, 468 nt
Filed under: uncultured bacterium
Lineage: Bacteria
Description: bacterial SSU rRNA
Rfam family: Bacterial small subunit ribosomal RNA
Source: RNAcentral